UCAGGAUGAACGCUGGCGGCGUGCCUAAUACAUGCAAGUCGAGCGAACGGACGAGAAGCUUGCUUCUCUGAUGUUAGCGGCGGACGGGUGAGUAACACGUGGAUAACCUACCUAUAAGACUGGGAUAACUUCGGGAAACCGGAGCUAAUACCGGAUAAUAUUUUGAACCGCAUGGUUCAAAAGUGAAAGACGGUCUUGCUGUCACUUAUAGAUGGAUCCGCGCUGCAUUAGCUAGUUGGUAAGGUAACGGCUUACCAAGGCAACGAUGCAUAGCCGACCUGAGAGGGUGAUCGGCCACACUGGAACUGAGACACGGUCCAGACUCCUACGGGAGGCAGCAGUAGGGAAUCUUCCGCAAUGGGCGAAAGCCUGACGGAGCAACGCCGCGUGAGUGAUGAAGGUCUUCGGAUCGUAAAACUCUGUUAUUAGGGAAGAACAUAUGUGUAAGUAACUGUGCACAUCUUGACGGUACCUAAUCAGAAAGCCACGGCUAACUACGUGCCAGCAGCCGCGGUAAUACGUAGGUGGCAAGCGUUAUCCGGAAUUAUUGGGCGUAAAGCGCGCGUAGGCGGUUUUUUAAGUCUGAUGUGAAAGCCCACGGCUCAACCGUGGAGGGUCAUUGGAAACUGGAAAACUUGAGUGCAGAAGAGGAAAGUGGAAUUCCAUGUGUAGCGGUGAAAUGCGCAGAGAUAUGGAGGAACACCAGUGGCGAAGGCGACUUUCUGGUCUGUAACUGACGCUGAUGUGCGAAAGCGUGGGGAUCAAACAGGAUUAGAUACCCUGGUAGUCCACGCCGUAAACGAUGAGUGCUAAGUGUUAGGGGGUUUCCGCCCCUUAGUGCUGCAGCUAACGCAUUAAGCACUCCGCCUGGGGAGUACGACCGCAAGGUUGAAACUCAAAGGAAUUGACGGGGACCCGCACAAGCGGUGGAGCAUGUGGUUUAAUUCGAAGCAACGCGAAGAACCUUACCAAAUCUUGACAUCCUUUGACAACUCUAGAGAUAGAGCCUUCCCCUUCGGGGGACAAAGUGACAGGUGGUGCAUGGUUGUCGUCAGCUCGUGUCGUGAGAUGUUGGGUUAAGUCCCGCAACGAGCGCAACCCUUAAGCUUAGUUGCCAUCAUUAAGUUGGGCACUCUAAGUUGACUGCCGGUGACAAACCGGAGGAAGGUGGGGAUGACGUCAAAUCAUCAUGCCCCUUAUGAUUUGGGCUACACACGUGCUACAAUGGACAAUACAAAGGGCAGCGAAACCGCGAGGUCAAGCAAAUCCCAUAAAGUUGUUCUCAGUUCGGAUUGUAGUCUGCAACUCGACUACAUGAAGCUGGAAUCGCUAGUAAUCGUAGAUCAGCAUGCUACGGUGAAUACGUUCCCGGGUCUUGUACACACCGCCCGUCACACCACGAGAGUUUGUAACACCCGAAGCCGGUGGAGUAACCUUUUAGGAGCUAGCCGUCGAAGGUGGGACAAAUGAUUGGGGUGAAGCU
RNAcentral lists this ribosomal RNA (1483 nucleotides) under Staphylococcus aureus. RNAcentral describes it as "partial 16S ribosomal RNA". It matches the Rfam family "Bacterial small subunit ribosomal RNA". Lineage: Bacteria; Bacillati; Bacillota; Bacilli; Caryophanales; Staphylococcaceae. The record is from RNAcentral.